GAUGAAGAACGCAGCGAAACGCGAUAAGUAAUGUGAAUUGCAGAAUUCAGUGAAUCAUCGAAUCUUUGAACGCACAUUGCGCCCGCCAGCACUCUGGCGGGCAUGCCUGUUCGAGCGUCAUUUCAACCAUCAAGCCCCCAGGGGCUUGUGCUGGGGCCCUGCGGCUGCCCGCAGGCCCUGAAAACCAGUGGCGGGCUCGCUAGUCACACCGAGCGCAGUAGCACAUCUCGCUCAGGGCGUGCGGCGGGCUCCUGCCGUGAAACCCCCCACUGUAACCCCAAAGGUUGACCUCGGAUCAGGUAGGAAUACCCGCUGAACUUAAGCAUAUCAAUAAGCGGAGGA
RNAcentral lists this unclassified non-coding RNA (342 nucleotides) under soil metagenome. RNAcentral's name for it is "partial contains 5.8S ribosomal RNA, internal transcribed spacer 2, and large subunit ribosomal RNA". The stretch from base 1 to 120 matches the Rfam family "5.8S ribosomal RNA", at positions 35 to 154 of the family's 154-position model. The record is from RNAcentral.